UGUAGAGUCACUACUUGUCUUCUCUGUUGCACAGCCCUCCCCCAACAUUAUACAUGCUAAUCGUAAUGCUCCCUUUAAAAGCCCUUAUGUUUUAAAUAAGCUUCUGGGGUUUUUCUCAUUUAAUAUGAUGUUAAGAUUCAUUCUUUGCCAGUGUGUACUGCAUUUGGUUUGCUUGCUGGGUAGAGUCCACUGUGUGACUCUCUUACAGGUAAUUCAUCAGUUUUCCCAUUGCGUCUCUUCUGGUAAGUGUAAUUAGGUAAAUGACAGGUGGUGCUCGCUCUCUACACAGAGCUAAAACUUGGCUAAAAUCAGCACCACUAAUCCCCAAACCCUGUCCCCGCAGCAGUGAGCAGUGUUACCCAUUUGCACGACUUCCUGCCAGAUCUUUUCCUUUAUCCACAUCUAAAGAAGAUGUUGCCCUGUUUUUCUUUCUCUUUUCUACAUAUAUGGGGAAGCAUUAACUUCUAUAUAAUACUACUGUACACUGUAUGUCACUAUUGACUUGCCUUUUUUGUCGAACAAUAGGGAGAUUCAUAUUGGAAACAGAACCGUCAUUCGGUUAAUCAGCAUAGUGUUCCUUCACGUGGACUGGCCAUGGGUUACUUAGCUGUUCUGACACUGAUGGAUAUUUGCACUCUUUCCAAUCUCUUUAAGUUUCAAAGAAUACUGUGUGAUGUCGUCCUUGUAUGACAUGCGUGUUUCAUGGGGUAGGUGCCGAGUCAUGGGACGUGGAUCAGACUCUCUCUAUUCUGCUCCAUUCUCCAGGGUGGGUGCACAAAUUUGCGUACCUGACGAUGACAGUAUCUUUUUGUCCACAUCCUUUCCGAUGCUCUGUAUAGCGCCUUUUGACUUCUGCCAGUUCCCUCCUUUAAUCUGUCAUGUAUUCAGUGACCCACAUAGACUUGAAUUGGUACAAUGGGUUCUUGUCAUCUGAGGGUUUAACACGUGUAGGUUUGGUGCUGAUAGGGGCCACAGGAUCAAAAACACAAUAGUUAUCAUUUUAUUGAGAUGUAAUUUUUUUAUGCCAAAUGUUCUGCAUCCAUGUCACACAUGGCUUUGUUGUCUGCUUCUCUGCAUUGCUGCAGCUCUUCUGAAGGGACCUACAAUUUGCAGAUUUACGUAAGUUCAUGGCUAAUGUUACUAUACUCUGUGAUGUUGUAAUGGGACUAUGAGGUGUAUGUUUGUGGCAGAAUUUAUUUUCAUCUUUUUACAAGCUACUACUUUUGUAUUUAAAAUUUAAACACUACAGAACACAAUGUAUAAAAUAAAAGUUCUCUGUAAUUCCUCUCCCCAGAUAACUACUAAUGACAACUUCAUUUAUAUUUUCUUCAGACAUUUUCCCUCCAGGAAGUACUAAAAUUUAUCCUAUUAUUAUUAUCUGCUCUAAUGUGGAAUCAUACAAGACAGACUGUUUUGUAACUACUUUAUUAUUUUCCUGGCUCCAUAAUAUUUCAUCUUGACGUGUUUGUAAUUAUUUUAACCAUUUUCCUAUUUAUUGAUAGGCCUUUAGGGCAUCUGUAGGGCUCUCUGGCCUUUGUGCAGCGAGCUUCCUACCGCCUGCUGAUGCUCGCCUUAGGGUAGUAAUGCUGGGAGGCGGAGUGAGAGCUCCCUAUUUGCAAAGCCGCAGGUGUCCGCAGCCCCUCCCACCCCCCGCAGCACCAAGUCUCUGCCCGCCCUGCGCUGUCUGGGUCUGGGGCUCUCAGUCCUGUGAGGUGGAUUGAGGGUUUCUGCUGCCAAAGUAGAAUAAUGCUGGCCCUCUGACAUGCGGUGGAAUCUAACUAAAACUGUUUACUUGCUAAAACUGCCUUUCCAUACCGGAAUUCAGUACAAGAUGGUGUCUGACUUAUUUGGCACAAAACAAGAAUGGACCUAACCAGACUCAGAGUCUACUUCCUGGCGUUUCUCCUAAGCAGAUCUAAAGCAACUAUUCUAGGAAAGCAACUGUGACAUUUGCAAAAAGUGGCAUUUAAUUAUUUAUCUUGUUUGUUUGGUCUGUUGAAAUCUUACCUGGCUUCUGCCUGUAGGUGUUUCUAGUCCUCCGUGGAGAAGGCCUGCGUUCGCUGGGGCAGGUCGGCUCGCCCCUGCCUUUCUGCUUGCACAGCCUUGGGUGCUUUCCAUCGAAGCACAAGCUCUCUCUCCCUAAGAGGCCACCAAUGCCAGGAGCACAGCCUUAUGCUUACCUGUCUCAGCCUCUGGGGGAUUGAUGCACCCCCUUACUCGUCUGUCGAUGUGGCUGCUGUGUGACCUGCUCCCUGUGUGUCAAAGCAAGACCCAGCCUCUGCUCUGUGCUGACCCCAAGGGCAAAGGCUCUGCUGUUUUCUUCCAAUUUAUUUAACUUACAGGUAAUACCUGCACAUGUUAAACACUCAAACCCUGUAGGAGACACAGUGAUGUCUCUCUCUAAUAUAAAUAAGUAUAUUUAUACUUAUCAAUGUUUUCUUUUAUAUGUUCUGGAUUUUAUGAGUAGUUCAGAAAGGCUAAUCCAGCUCAAGGUUAUUUUGUGUUAAACCUUAUGUUUUGUACCAAUUCUUUAAAGGUUCUAUUCUUAUUUUAAUCUUAGAUGUAUCUGGACUUAAUUUUGGUAUAAUGAAUGACUUAGGAAUGGCCAGCCUCUUGUCCCUACACCAUUUACUGAUGCAUAUAUCUGUCCAUCAUUGAUCUUCUAUUAAUGUGCCAGUUCCAGUUUUAAUUUGUUACAUGAUAAGGAUAGCCCUACUUCAUUCUACUUUUCCAGAAUUUUUCUGGUUAUUUUUGCACAUCCACUUUCACAUCUCUAUGCUGUCUUCCUGCCUUUGUCUUCCUGUGCAAGAAUAAGGUAUGUCCUCCCAUUUCUGUAUGUUUCAUUGGGUUUUGUAAUAUAUAGAAACUGUGGUCAGCUAGGCUGGUCUUGGUCUGUCUGCAACUACCUAAUUAUUUUCAUGCUCCAAAAUAUUUAAUCUUGUGCAUGUUAUAGUAAUUUUAGCCAUGUCCCUAUUGAUGUGUAUCUGGAUCUCCUGUCCCACCUCCUGGCAGCCCCCACACUAGUCAUAACGCCCACCUCCACCACAGAGCACUUUCUUUUAUUUGCUGUGCCUAGCGGUUACUUACUGCUGUCAAACUGGUAAUGUGCAGUUCAGUGGACUUUACAGAUGAAAUGCUCCUAAACACACUGUCUUACUAAAAAUGUCAAUGUAUUUAUGCAAACUCAAUGUAGAGAAUGAAAUGGGCAUGUUCUAGAAGGUCACAUUCUAGGAGAAGAGUUGGACUAGCAGGGUUUGUGUUCUGAACCUCUGCCCCUGUGUGGCGGUCUCUGUGUCCCUGGGGAGUUCGUGCACCCAUAAAGGCUAAAUGGAAUCCUCUUCUGGGGACCUGCACUAACCCCAUGCUCAACCCCUGAACCACCCUUUUCUCCUGUCCACAACCCACUGGAACUAUUUAUAAAACAUAUCUCAUGCUUUCUACCUUACCUUUCUUACUAUACAGACCAGAAUUUGCCAUUUCUUCAUUGCCUCAAGACCGUCGUGUGCACAUCGUCCUGUUCAGCACACAGUAGUUCCUUCAGGGGCUGCUGAGGUGGGGCCUGUGUGUCUCUUCAGUCUGCUCACCAGCCUGGCCCUUGUGGUGAGGGGACAGCUGAGGCUUCUCAGAGUCCUCCCACCGUGCCAUACCUGGGCUGGCUGUAGGCGUCUGUAGUAGAGGCCCAACCAAAAGGGCUGGGAAGCAAGCCAGCCAAGCCAUCUCCUCACUUUACUGUUACACAGAGGUCAGAGGUGGCCUGAGUCUGCUUCAGAAACAAUGUGCAUGGGCUUGCUUCUUAACCAAAUACUGUUCUGAUUUCUGAUUGGUAUUUUUUUCUGACAUGUUGAAAUAGGAUGCUGUUCUCUGUUUUCAAAGGCCUUGUUUUGCACGAAUCGGAUUAUUUCCUUGAUCUAAUUUCUUAGCAGUGACAUUACUGGCCCAGAGGGUGUGACCAGUGGGAAGGCUUUUGACUAGAUGGCCAAGCACCCCCCGUAAAGGCCGCCCUGGCUCAGCCCUCCCCAGAGAGGCAGCAGCAGCGCUUCCGCCCAACCUUGGCCUGACCAGUUUCGAAGGCAAAAAACAGUCUCAGUGCUUUGAUUUGCAACUUUUGAUUCUGAAGGAAACCUGUAUUUGUCAACGGAUCUGUGUGUCUGCUUUGUGCUGUACUAAAUUUUCACUUCCUGAGAGCUCUUCCCUUGCCGCCAUUACCCUUAUGUAUUAUGAAAGUCUUCCUAGUAGAGCGCCUUUUAGAUGUACAUGUUGGAUCUUGUGGGGACUUCUCAAUCUUCUAAUCGAAUCUGUCUUUUAUUGUCAUGGUGUUACUGGUGUUAUCCUGUAUUUUCCUCUGGUUCCUUUGUGAUUUCAUUUCCGACAUUCAACACUUUAUCCACCUAGAAGUUGUUUUGGUGGCCAGUAUGAGGUAAGAAUCUAAUCUAGUUAUUUCAAAAUGGCUAACCAGUUUCCCCAGCAUCAUUUACUGAGUAAAUUCCACUUUUUCUACUGAUUUGAAAUGCCACCUGUUAAUUAAGGACUGAAUACUUUAAGUCUGUUUCUGAACAUUCCAAUCUGUUCCACCAAACUGUCUUUUCUUUGCCAACCCAAUGCCUUAAUUACAUUAGCUUUAUAAUAUCUGAUUCUACUAUAUUGUAAUACAGGCCCCAUCAUUCUUUUUUAGAGCAUGUAAAUUUUUAUUGGAAUUGCAUUACAUCUAUAAAUAUGUUAUGAUAUUGAGACUUCCUAUUGAGGAACUGUCCUCUCUGUUCAAGACUGGAUGAUGUUUCACAUUCCUCAGGAAUUUUAGACUUAAAAUUAGUUCUAGAAAUGUUACAUUCUGUAUUUAGUUAGAUAUGUUUUUCUAUUACAUUUUUUUAUUAUGGUAGCAUAUGGUAAGACUUGUUUUAUGUGUGUGCAUGUGUAUGUGUGUAUUUAAAUAAAUAUGCUGAACUUGAAUUGUAGGGCCAGUUGGGAGGCAAUAUGUAGCAUCUUGGCUAAAAGGGCAGGAUUUUGAGUCAGAUGAUCCUGUUCUAAUGCAAGACCCACCUCUUAUUUAUUUUCUGUGUGAUCAUCUCCUACCUCGGUUCCCCAUCUGUAAGAAGGGAUAAUCACAUUAUCUGCUAAGAAUUGGGAUCAGUGCUUCGUAACUUUUUAUGACUAAAUAAUAUUCCACAUUCCACUGCAUGACUAUACCACCUGUUUACCCAUUCUUCAGUUGGACAUUUGGGUUGUUUCCUCUUUGUUGGCUAUAAUGAAUAAUGUGUCUGUGAGCUUUUGUUUGAACAUACGUUUUAAAUUCUUUUUGGUAUACAUCUAGGAGCAGAAUUGCUGGGUAAUAUAAUAACUGUGUUUAACUUUUUGAUGGAUUGCCAAACUGUUUUCCAGUGUAGCUGUACCAUUUUACAUUCCCACCAGAAAUUUGUGAGGAUUCCUCCAUGUUCUCAACAACACCUGUUCUUAUCUAUCUUUUUGAUUAUAGCCUUCCUAAUGGGCAUGAAUUGGUACCUCAUGGAGUUUUGGUGUGCAUUUCUCUGACCAAGGAUGAAGGUCAAGCACCUUUUCAUGUGUUUGUUGGCUGUGUCCUAAUCUUUUCUGGAGAAGUGUCUAUGCUGAUCCUUCAUCCACUUUUUAAUUGGGGAUUUGUCUUUUUAUUAUUGAGUUUUAAGAGUUUUUUUUCAUUAAAAAAUUUUUAUUUAGGUAUAGUUGACAUAAUAUUAAUUUCAGGUGUAAAACCUAACAGUUCUUUAUAUAUUCUGUAUACUAGAUCCUUAUCGGAUGUAUGGUUUGUGCAGAUAUUUUAUCCUAUAGCUGUGGGUUGUAUUUCUACUUCAUCGUGUCUUUUGAUACAAAAUAUUUAUAUUUUAAGUGACUGAAUUUAGGGAAAAAGAAAAAAGGACUGGCUGUACUCAGGCAUGGCAAAAAACCUCAAGGUGCUGUAUGAAUGAUUAAGAUUUGGGAAGGUGGUCCCUGUGAGACCACAGGUGUCUGGAGGCGGAGAAAGAGGGCGACCCUUAACCAGGAAGUGGGCGGGGCGCGCUGCACCGGUGCAACCGGCGGAGUCAGCGGGCAGGGCCCGCUAGGUGUGCUGGGACCACCUACUGUGAGUUUGCUCAGAAGUGGUGGUUGUUUAAGUCGGUGGUAAAUACCGGAUUUAUCCAAAUGUCUUUCCUGCGUCUUUUGAGAUGAGCAUCAAUCAGGUUUUUCUCCUGUCGUCUUCUCAUGAUUUAAUUGUAUUAAUGGAGUAUGAAGCCCUCCUGCGAUCGUUGAAACAAACCACUCCCUGGCCAGGAGCUUUAGUCCUUCAAGAUAGAAGUGAAGCGGAAGGUCCACUGGGGCCUGGGGCGUUGUAAGGCAGGUUUUGGUAUCAAGGUAUCAGGAUAUCAGGAAAGCCAGAGACACAGCGAAGAGCAGAGGCUAAGAGCACACCGUUGAGCCGGACUCUGGUUUGCCACUUAAUAGCAUGUGACUUGGGCCAAAUUUCUUAAAUUCUUGAAGCCAGUUUUCCUCAGUGAUAAACUGGGGACAAACGUAGUUUUAGAACCUAACUUGCAGUUUUCCUGAAGCUGCAACAGGUGGCAUGGUGCAGGCGGUCUGAGUGAGGGGCGCUGCGGUGCCUGCCCGUCAGGACGGAGAUAGGGCGGCCAGCCGGCCCCCGACCUCCCCUGCGCCCGCGGCAGAGCGGCGUGCCCUGCGCCACCCGGGCCACUGCCUCUUUUCGGAGGUUCAGCGGUUCUUUUGAAGGUUUUUCCAUUUCUUCCUGAGUUACUGGGCUAGUCAGUAUUUCACUGUUUAAGUAUUACUUCAUUCGACAUUCAGUUCUUCAAAGUUUUCUGAAAAAAAUUGCCUUUUUCAUAUGUAUUAAUCUACACUCUCUUUUUACAUUUUAAUAUCCUCCUUAUAAAUAUUUUUUCACUUUAUUACUAGUUUUUCUUUAUCUUGAAUAGACUUUAAAGAAAUCUAUUUUACUGGCCUUUUCAAAGAAACAGAUUUAGAUAUAAUAAGCAGUUUAACUGCUUUCAUUUUGUAAUUUAUUAAUUUCUACUUUUAUUUCAUUAGUUCUUUCCACCUGCUUUCCUUGGAUUUUUUUUUGUCACUCUUUCUAGUCUUGCAUCGCAUGCUUCAUUCAUUCACGUUCUUCUCAGCUCCCCGCGCCCCACUGCCAGGACGGUGACCUCCGUGUGGAGCCUUCCCAAGGCAGGCUUCUGAUGCCGCCCAGGAUGAUGGGCUGGGGCCUGCAGGCACACGGAGGCCGUCAGCGAAGGGAAACAGCAAACUGCUGUUGCCUCAUCCCCCCAUUUCCAUCUCUAACGAUCCCUCCAGCAACAUCCUCCUUGGCCGGACACUGAGCUGGUCCCACAGACACAGGCAAGCAAGCUGACUGUCCUCACCUUCGUGGUGCCCCGUUCUCAUGGGGACAGGUCUCAGCUGGCGAUUAUACAAAUCAUGAGCCGGUACAGUUGCGGUAACAGCCGCGAGGGAGUGCAGUGCAGCCCCAGAGUGAAGCCAGAAAGCCCAGCCCUGGGCUCUCACUCAAGGCUAAGAAGCUGUAAGGAAGAGCAUUCCCCGCUGAGAGAAGGGCAUGAGCAAAGCCACUGAGCUGGAGUGCGAGGUGGGUCCGGGAGGCGAUGGUGCGUGGGGAUUCAGGACGUGCCCGUAGGGUGCCUGAAGGCCCCCCAUCUGUAUUUGGUAAAAGAGUUUGUUGUCUUUGUUUCCUGUACGUCUCACGGUUUCAGUUCUGAUGUAUAAUUUGGCUAUAGUUACUUAAGAGUAUGCUUUAAAAUUUCCAAGUGUUUGAAAUGUUUAACUGUCAUAAUCAGUUUAAUGAAUGAUUGGAAGUGACCUGUACAAUUUCUGUUGUUUUGAAUCUACAUUUCCCUUUCUUUGUUGCUUAAGGUUCGGUGUGGCAACUUUUAUGACUGUUGCAUGGCACUCGAGAAGGUACUCUCUCGUGUCGGGGACAUUUGGGCCCUGUCCCUCCUGUUAUUUUUUGGGCCAGCCCAGCUGCACUGUGUCCUCGUGUAACGAAGUGUGAUGCCAUUCUGCCUGGCACCUCGGCUUCUCCCCGCUGCCCUGAGCCAGUUGGCCAGCCUUGCUCCCUGUGUUCGGCUGCAGCGUUGCUGGCACACCCGAAUUCCACAACGCCCCUCCAGUGUGGAGAGCCCGCUGCCUGGGGUUCACUGUCCGGCGCCGGCCUGCGCCUGCGCCCACCCGUCCACAGUCGCUGGCUUCUCAGUUUGCAUUUGACUGAAGUACCAUUGGGGUCAUUUUCAGUUGUUGAGUUCUGAAACUGUUUCUAUAUCUCUUCUCUGCUUUCUGCCCAAAUGCCUGUGUUUAUUUUAUGAGGUUGUGAUUGGUAGUCAUUUUUUCCACAUCAGGCUAUAUUGUGGGCGGUUAUCCAGGCUGACAUCACCUACCCGCACUGGCUGAGGCCUUCCAGGGUGUGAGCCUGUUACAGCCACCGCCAUGUGGCCGGUACCAGCAUUUUGUGAAUGUAAGUCACAUUGUCACAAGUAUCUUUGGGCACAUCCCCUCUUAAGCCUCCAGGCUGCUUUUGGUUUGCGUUCCCGACUGGCCAAAGGGAUUGGCAGUUGCCCUUUCACCUUGCUCACUGCCCUGUACCCUCUCCAGAUGGUUCUAAGGGGCCAGUUUUGUGCUCCUGUUUCCACACCACGCUGCCAAUGCAAGUUUUUGGUUUUUCUCACUGUGUGUAGUGGUUCCUUGAAGCCACUUUCUCACCUUUAAGCCAUUGGCGCAUUUCCUAGUGUAGGCCACUCUCUGGGUUCCCCGAGGUAUAAACCUUAAAGAUCUUGUCACUAAUAUACUGGAUUAACUGUUUGCUCAUCUUGCAGACUAUGUCUUGACCACCCCAUCUCUGAGGCCUUCUGAGGCCGGAGCUUUGUUGCUUCGUCAGGUUGGGACUGGGAUGGCUGUGUGCAUUUCCCUCUGCUGCUGCGAUGAGACAAGUAGAGAGGACCCUGUUCUCAGCCUGACCUGAUGUUCUGUGUGACGCUGCACAGGCUGCAGCCCUUUCUGAGCCCCAGCUUCUCAUCUGGACCUUGUUGGGGAGGGGCUGCUGAGCUCCUCAGGACAGACAGGAGGGGCGCAGGGGCCCUCCCCCAUGGGAAACGGGGACAGGACCGCGGGACAGGACGGCAGAGCUCGUGCAGGUGCUCGCAGUGGACCUGCUGUGGCUGUGGAGAGGCGGAGCUGGCCUGGAAGCAGUGGGUGCUGUGCGCAGCACGCGGGGAGGGUGGCCUUCCUGUACCUCCUGCCUCUGUGGCCCUGGUGACUUGGACCCGUCCUCGCUGGAAUGCAGACCCUGGGUGAGAGGCUGGUGGGGCACAGUGCUUCCAACUUCAUUUUCAAGUAAUAGCUGUUCCCCCGGAAGGAGUGGUUCCGCAGUUAACGAUGGCCAAGUGACGGAGGACAAAGACGAGGCAGGUGGGCAGGCCUGUGCGGCCCCAUGGGCAGGGGCCCAGCAGACCUGGGGGACCACUGGCAUUUGAGCUAGACCUCUGUCCUUGAAGUUUCUCCUAGCUCUUAGAUUUCCUGUUCUGAUGAAAAACUUAAGAUUUUUUGUUUUUUAUUAUAAAAGUAAUCUGCAUAGAGUUAAAAAUUCAAGCCAUGAAAAAGGUACAAAAUGAAAGUAAAAUCCCUCACCCCACACCCAUUGCAUCCCCACUACACAGAAGAGGCCUUUCAAGUUUUUUAGAAUCUUUCUGGUAAUUUCUGUACACAUACAAAAAUUUGU
Manis javanica (Malayan pangolin) is the source of this 9742-nucleotide non-coding RNA. Lineage: Eukaryota; Metazoa; Chordata; Mammalia; Pholidota; Manidae. The record is from RefSeq and is a predicted model, not a curated record.